RNAcentral lists this long non-coding RNA (336 nucleotides) under Homo sapiens (human). RNAcentral describes it as "HSALNT0233793". Lineage: Eukaryota; Metazoa; Chordata; Mammalia; Primates; Hominidae. The record is from RNAcentral.
AUCACCCCACUCUGACCUUUUUGAAGAUAGGCAUGCAACUUGUUUUGGCCAAUGAAAUGUGAUGGGAAGUGAUAAUGUGCCCUCCAGAGAGAAGCUGUAAGAGCCAGUGCACAGCUUUACUACCUGCCACGGAGAUCAUAGACACCUAUGCUGAUAUGAAACCUUCAUCAAACGCUGGGUCUCUAAAUGACUGCAAUGGACAGAGACCCCUGCCCCAUCACCAAUAAUCUUGCCAACCAACUGGACGUUUAGAAUCAGGAAAAAGAAAAUCAAGUUUUUAUUAGGAUGCCUCACAAACAUGCCUCAUCAGAUGGGACAUCAUACAGCAUGAUGUAA